UAGUGCAACGGCCAGUUGCCUGGCGAAAUAAGGGGGCCAUGGCUUUGGGAGUGUCCUCCUGUUUCAAUACAGGUGAACACUAUAGAGCGUACAAUCCAGAAGGGCUCAGAUUUUGCAAGCCAGAGUUCUAGGAUUAGUAUCGUGACGCCUACUUGACAAGAAUAAGGUGCACUGCUCUCAUGCCAUUGACCAACACCUUCAGGGCAACAAGCCUGACCUUGAUCCAAGUCACCGAAUCUUUCAAAUGAACAACUCCAAGAGAAGCAGGUUUGAAUUUUCUCGUCGAUU
RNAcentral lists this long non-coding RNA (288 nucleotides) under Coccomyxa subellipsoidea. Its description in RNAcentral is "long non-coding RNA (CSUB_LNC000482)". Lineage: Eukaryota; Viridiplantae; Chlorophyta; Trebouxiophyceae; Coccomyxaceae. The record is from RNAcentral.